Molecule: long non-coding RNA, 857 nt
Organism: Bos taurus (domestic cattle)
Lineage: Eukaryota; Metazoa; Chordata; Mammalia; Artiodactyla; Bovidae
Source: Ensembl
GGUCUACCCUAGAUAUUCUGUGUUUCAUAAGCAUUUUAAUUACAAUUUAUACCAAUUUCAGCUCUCUUAGAAAAAAUAAGAGAGACCUUUUUUCCAGGAUUGACCAGAAGGAAGGAAAGGUGGCCAAAGACAUAUUCCGAGGCUCCCUUGUCAGCUGACAUCGGCUGGGUCUAACGUGAGGUGGCUGAGGGCAGAGUAGAAGGUGAGAAAAUGAAAGAAAACAAGGUACUCUGCUAGAGCCUGGGGAGACAGGGAACAGGCAGAGAUGAUCCUUGCCCCCCAGAGCUUGUGGAGGAGACAGACAAAAAUGAGGACACACAGUGAACUCAGGAUGAAGAAUGAAAUGAUGCCAGAUCUCAAAGUCUACGUUCCAUGGACAAAGAUAAAUCAAGUAGAUGUGCAACUAGAACAAAGUAACAUAUGCUCCUAGAAUCAUAGAAAAUGCUCAAGGGUCUGAAAGGAAGCAACAAUUUAAAAGAGACAACUAACAUAGGAUCUAAAAACCAACAUUAAAGGCCAAGCUACCGAAUCUCCUCGGAAGGUUCUACCUUGUGUCGUGGCCGUCAACACAGCGGGAAAUGCAAUUUGCUGCUCAUCUUAGAGAUUUCCUUUCACACUCUGGGUGUGAGCAUAAAGGGAUUUCUCUUUACACUGGUUUCAUCCUUGUCUGAUCCUCUUUCCAAAGGCACCACAUUUCUCUAGAGAGUGUGUCCCAAAUGCCGUCUGUCUACGAAGCUCUUUACAAACAUUAAUAGACAAAUGGUUAGUUUAUAUAAAGCACACAUGUAUUGCUCUGACAUAAGCAGCGAGGAGCCCAGUUUACAUUUUUUGUCUUUCUUUUAAAAAGGAAUGAGAAA